This 468-nucleotide ribosomal RNA is filed under the name uncultured bacterium. RNAcentral describes it as "partial 16S ribosomal RNA". It matches the Rfam family "Bacterial small subunit ribosomal RNA", at positions 28 to 507 of the family's 1533-position model. The record is from RNAcentral.
GACGAACGCUGGCGGCGUGCUUAACACAUGCAAGUCGAACGGAAAGGCCCUGCUUUUGUGGGGUGCUCGAGUGGCGAACGGGUGAGUAACACGUGAGUAACCUGCCCUUGACUUUGGGAUAACUUCAGGAAACUGGGGCUAAUACCGGAUAGGAGCUCCUGCUGCAUGGUGGGGGUUGGAAAGUUUCGGCGGUUGGGGAUGGACUCGCGGCUGAUCGGCUUGUUGGUGGGGUAGUGGCUUACCAAGGCUUUGACGGGUAGCCGGCCUGAGAGGGUGACCGGCCACAUUGGGACUGCGAUACGGCCCAGACUCCUACGGGAGGCAGCAGUGGGGAAUAUUGCACAAUGGGCGGAAGCCUGAUGCAGCAGCGCCGCGUGCGGGAUGACGGCCUUCGGGUUGUGAACCGCUUUCGCCUGUGACGAAGCGUGAGUGACGGUAAUGAGUAAAGAAGCACCGGCUAACUACGUG